UUAAUUGUUUUGAUAGCGUGUUUAGUUAGCAGGAGCUUUUUGCAUACAAGCCUUUUGAUUCCAUUGAAGGGCAAUCUUAAUGUCUUGAUUGUCUUCUAACACUCUUUAGUUUCAUGAUCUCUGGUCCGACGUAUCCUACUAAACUUUGGUUUGCGAGCUUUCAAGGUUGGAACAUUCAUUUCAGCCAUCACCUUUGAGGAAAUAGUAGUAACAAGUUGGAUACUUUCUUCACAUUCACAACUUUCUUUACGCUUGUCAAACCAUAUGCAUGGCUGACUUGGUAAUUUCUACCCCAACAUCGGGUCUUUUUUCUAUUCCUUAUAGCUUCCCUAAUUGCUCAUGCUCUGUUUCCUUCCUACUUUCUAAUACUUCUUCUACGAGGAUCUCAGCUUGAAUGCAGUUGACGAGUUGAUGAUAUGAAGUAAGGUUUUUUUCGGAUAUCCAUCCAGAAGGGAGUUAAUAUUUAUAGCCCAUUCCACAGAGCGUCCUUUGUCAUUUUAUCCUACAUGCUUGCGCUCGCAGUGAACUCAAUGCUAAAGCGAGCGACGUAAUUCUUUAGUGACUCCCUUCUUCCUGCCUUAUAUCAUUUGGCCUAGUGGUGGGGGCUUCUCCAACUUUUUUCCAGUUUUAAAGGCUUGUUUCAGCUGUGGCCAGCUUCUGAUUGAUCAUGUGGCAAGCCUACUAUACUAGCUUUUUACUGAGCCUAUGAGAAGAGAGAGAGUAAUGAGAUGUCAAGUUUUUUUAGGGAUUUUAUUAGACGUAGCUUGUAUUUGAC
This 775-nucleotide long non-coding RNA is filed under the name Olea europaea subsp. europaea. Lineage: Eukaryota; Viridiplantae; Streptophyta; Magnoliopsida; Lamiales; Oleaceae. The record is from RNAcentral.